Molecule: ribosomal RNA, 253 nt
Filed under: uncultured bacterium
Lineage: Bacteria
Description: partial 16S ribosomal RNA
Rfam family: Bacterial small subunit ribosomal RNA
Source: RNAcentral
UACGUAGGGUGCAAGCGUUAAUCGGAAUUACUGGGCGUAAAGCGUGCGCAGGCGGCUUUGCAAGACAGAUGUGAAAUCCCCGGGCUCAACCUGGGAACUGCAUUUGUGACUGCAAGGCUAGAGUACGGUAGAGGGGGAUGGAAUUCCGCGUGUAGCAGUGAAAUGCGUAGAUAUUGGGAGGAACACCGGUGGCGAAGGCGGCCCCCUGGACCGGUACUGACGCUGAGGCGCGAAAGCGUGGGUAGCAAACGGG